RNAcentral lists this small RNA (108 nucleotides) under Staphylococcus aureus. RNAcentral describes it as "HMPRFS0000_2568". The record is from RNAcentral. Lineage: Bacteria; Bacillati; Bacillota; Bacilli; Caryophanales; Staphylococcaceae.
GUUGUGUAUGUAGCUGCUAAAAUUUUUAUUACUGGUAAUAAGAUACACAAUCCGUUAGAUCGCAAUCAUUCAGAAUUAAGAGAUAAAAAGUGAGUUUAAACGAUGGUG